UUUGUUUAUGUAAUUUAUACGUGUUUCUCGUUUCUCGUUUUUGUCGAGCCUGCAACUUUUGUUGCAGAAAGCUCGACAUAGGGAUAGUGAUCCGGCGGCGGUGUUAGCUAACUUCUUAAAAGCUUUAUAUUUUAGAAGGUGGAAGACCUGGAUGCUUCAUACUUUGUAUAUAGAUGCCUCAUGUUACGAAGUUUCCGUCAGUCACAUGUCCAAUGUCCUUGACCUCAUUUUCAUGGUUCAGUGACCACUUGAAAAAAGUUCAGAUUUUUUGUAAUGUUGAAUUCUCUCUUAUUAUAAGUAAUAGGAUAACAAUAUUUG
RNAcentral lists this long non-coding RNA (318 nucleotides) under Mytilus galloprovincialis (Mediterranean mussel). Lineage: Eukaryota; Metazoa; Mollusca; Bivalvia; Mytilida; Mytilidae. The record is from RNAcentral.